AAGAAAUUAUUAUAAACAUUAUAAGUAUAUAAAAUUGCAAAUUUUAAGGUUAUUUUCUUU
This 60-nucleotide transfer RNA is filed under the name Trichuris muris. RNAcentral's name for it is "tRNA TMUE_M000000009". Lineage: Eukaryota; Metazoa; Nematoda; Enoplea; Trichinellida; Trichuridae. The record is from RNAcentral.